Long non-coding RNA from Cyprinus carpio carpio, 3125 nucleotides. Lineage: Eukaryota; Metazoa; Chordata; Actinopteri; Cypriniformes; Cyprinidae. The record is from Ensembl.
AUGCUGUUGCGGAAGUGGUUUCCCCAUGGUGAUGAUUUUGUUGGAGACCCGGUUGUUCAAGUAGUGGUUCCCACAAAAUUUCAGAAAACUGUGUUGGAGGUUGCACAUGACCAUUCUGGUCAUUCAGGAGUAAGAAAGACGUAUGACAGUAUUUUAAGGGAUUUCUGGAAGAACCCCUGUUUUGAGGGGAGGGGUGUGACGAUCCCGUGUGAGUCCCUAAAGCCCCCUCCUUGUAUUUGGAAGAUGGUUGAUUUCAUAAGUGGUUUCAUUGCACACACCUGGCUUUAAAAGGAGCCAUUUCACUGCUUGUGGGGAGGAAGGGCUAUUUCUGUUGGUUUACUUUAUUUCUUUUUGUUUGUUUUAUUUCUUUCUUUGUUCCAUUUUUGGCCACAGGGCCACAGUACAUUACACCUCACGCAAACACCUGAAUCUACAUCACUGACUUUACUAACAGUAACAUUAGUAUUCGUUCGAGAAUGUACUGGUUUAGACUUAAAAUAUGUGAUUUUUUUAAUAAAUUUGCUUAUACAUUUUGGGAGAUGUGAGCUCCAGGGCGUCAGCUUUCAGUGCUCACAAACCCGCUGAGAGCAGCCUCACCUCGGGCAGAAGUUCUGGAAUUUGCUGCUGGCUGUGAUGUAUCUAUUAGAGAUGCGAAGUAAUGAAGUACUACUUACUGUACUUAAAAGUAGAUUUUUUCUGGUAUCAGUACUUUACUUAUCUAUUUAUUAACUUUUUACUUGUAGUUCUUACAUUUUUACACAAAUAUCUGUACUUUCUACUACUUUUUACAUUUUCUACUUUACAUUUUCAAACCAGGCUUGUUACUUUAGUUUUAAUCUGUUUCACCAUUUGAUAAUAAAUCUCUAAUAAAUCAAGAAUCGGUUAGUUUUGACGCUUUACACUCCAGUCCCCCGGGUGGCGCUAAAAACAUAUGUUUGCUUGCCAACCACAAUUUAACCUCAGAGGAAGAAGAUUAAUGUUGUUUUGUCAUGAUACUGGUCUAAUACAAACUGUUAGAAAUUGGAAUGUACUUUUACUAAAUAGAAAGAUACAAAAAUGAAUCAGGUCAGUAAAUCAUCCUCAUAAUCAUGAUAAUUUUUCUAGUAAGCAGGAAUAUCUGGAUGAGCAUCAUCUGAAUUGAGAAUAUCAAAGACAAUUUUUAAUAUAACUCCAAUUGGAUUCGUCUGAAAGAAGAUAGUCAUAUACACCUAGGAUGCUUUGAGGGUGAGUAAUUCAUGGGCUAAUUUUAAUUUUUGGGUGAACUUACCCUUUAAAAAGGAAAGUGAGGAGGACACGAGUGAACCAGAACCCUGCAGAAUAAAACAGGAGGAACACGGAGGUUGCGGUUUAUUCUUCUUUCAUCUUUAAUGACUGUUUGAGGUACAUUUAAGAAACUUUAAGGGUGUCCCCCUUGAAAGGGUGAUCUUUUAAAGGAACACGCCACUAUUUUUGAAAAUAGGCUCAUUUUCCAAUUCCCCUAGUACACAAUGUAACUACAGAAGAGUCAACUUUUAAGUAGGAAAAAUAUCCAAACUCUUUGGUCAUUUUUGAGCAAGAUGCUAAUGGUCUAAUCAGAUUCAAUAAUCUAUGCUAAACUAAUCUAAAAGUGCUACCGCCAGACCUGGAGAUCGGCUAAAUGGAUUCGAAAAUGGUAAAACUCAACUGUUUAACUCUAGGGGAGUUGUUGAAAUUUUUUAAUGUAAAAAUAAAACCUUAACUGUCAUUAACCAAAUCCAUGUUGCACUUGUCUUAAAAUGCAGCCGAACCGAGCAUUUAUUUAUUAGUUUUUGUUUUUUUACUCAUUGCUUUUCAGAAUUGUAAAACUGUGUUGAACUCAGAGCACAUCAUUCACUCAAGUUCUAACAAAUAAAAGUGAAUCAAGUCAUAUAUAUAUCGUUAUAUUACUGUUUGUACCUCCAAAUAAACAUACAGUAUAAACACACACACACUGCCUGGCCAAAAUAAAGUCACUGCUUGGUUUAGCAAAUGUUAUUCAAAACUGUAAAUGGUUGAUUUUUAUUUGCAUACCCUUAAUAAAUACAGAAAAUUAAGCUUUUGAAAAAUAAAGAAAACAAUAGGAUCCGACUUUCUGCUGUCUCAGUUCCCCCAGAUGCUCUGAUUAAAAAAAAAAACCGGCACCAAAAAAAAAAAAAACAUCUGUUUGGUUUUAAUUAUUACCUUGGACUGAUAUUGUUACUCUCUGAUCCUCUGCCGCCUGCCCUGACCUCUGCCUGGUAAACCUGUUCAUUAUUUUGGAUUUGUCUCUGAUACCCCUGUUGUUGUUCUCUGAUCUCCGCCUGUUUGACUCUGCUCUUAAUAAAGCUGAAAAUGGAUCUCCGUGCCUCAGAACCUUCAUUACAGAUAUGCAUCAUUCUUGUCUUUUUAAAGAUUUUAUUUCAAUUUAAAAAUCAAGAAUAUCUUAAAGGGGUCAUAUGAUGCUGCUAAAAAGAACAUUAUUUUGUGUAUUUCGUGUAAUAAAAUGUGUUUAUGCGCUUUAAGGUUCAAAAAACACAUUAUUUUCCACAUAAUGUACAUUAUUGUUUCUCCUCUAUGCCCCGACUUCUGUGGCAGAGUCUUAACUUUGAUAAAGAAUAUCUCUUUGGAUUUGAGACUUUAGUCUUUGCAACUUUACAGAUCUUUAUGCACCAAGAGCUUGUAACACUCCAAAGAGAAAUAUACUAUCAUUGAAAUCGCAUCCUAUGACCCCUUUAAGACUUUUACCCAUCUUGCUAUCCACUGUGCCCUUGCAGAACAGUUUCCUCCAUUGUCCCUGGCACCGAAUAGCCACUUUGACACUGCCCUUUCUUCCCUUUUUUCUGGUAAUUUGGUUAGUAAGGGAAUUUUUUUUCAAGCUUCCUGUAAAACACAAAGAGCAUUAAAGUGAGAUUAAAUUCUGUAUUUACGCCCUUGCAAGAAAUAAGCCGUUAUCUCCAUUUUUACAUUUUUCAGGAUAUACUGUACAAUAAUGGUAUUGGAUAUAAUAUUCUAUCAUACACAAAUGGUUUCUGCGUAUUUGUACAAAAGUGAAAAGAACAACAUUUUUGCUGCAAGGGUUUAUUAACUAAACGAACACAGAAACAAGGGCACAGGGCAACAUUUCAAUGCAUAGUUCACCCAAAAAUUUU